RNAcentral lists this long non-coding RNA (1461 nucleotides) under Heterocephalus glaber (naked mole-rat). RNAcentral's name for it is "lncRNA (ENSHGLG00100049692.1)". Lineage: Eukaryota; Metazoa; Chordata; Mammalia; Rodentia; Bathyergidae. The record is from RNAcentral.
GUGCUGCCAAGCUCUGUGUUGCCAAGCUGUGUACCCUGGCCCAGGGAUGUGCCCAACCAGGGUAUCAUGUGCCAUUGAGGGGAUAGCAUUAGCUUCAAAACAGAGGAGCCAGCAGAAAAAAACAGAACAGUCAGAGAAGUUGAAGAAGACCUGAGGAUUUGUUUCCUGGAAUCUCAGAAAGGCAAGAAGGUGAUUAAUGAAGCUGCAAGGUGCAGACAAAUCAACCAGAAGUGAUCUGCUAAGACUUUGAUAUUGAAUCCUAGGACUUCCUGGGCCCAAAGGAACCUAUAUCCCUUCAUUACAUUUUUUCUACAGAAUGAGGCAUGUACCCAGGUGAGUACAGCAUCUUACAGGGCUACCAGAUUCUCUUUGAAAAAUCCCAAAUGAAGAGAUACAGUCUUGAGGCUUCCCCACAAAAAAACUCUCCUGGGACCUCCAAGAAGACAGAGCAAACUGUCCUGGGUCUUGCAGGGGAUGCUGAGUCACCCCGCUGCAGGAGGGCAGGUCUGUGCACGCCCUGCUGAGGUCCUGGGUUGCACAGAACACACCGAGUCACCCCACUGCAGACAGGCAGCCACCUGGUUCCACACUACAAAGACGCAGAGGACACCAGACCACCAGACCAAGGUACUGAGUCCCGCUGCUCCCGGCCCAGAGGUAGGGGCUUCUGAGCUGCCAUCCCACUGCUCCUGGUCCAGAGGAAGGGGCUUCCCGGUCACCAUCCCUCCUGCUGCUCCCAGCCCAGAGGAAAGGGCUUUUAGGCCACCUUCUGUCCUGCUGCUCCUGGCCCAGAGGAAGGGGCUUCCAGGCCACCAACCCUCCCACUGCUCCCAGCCCAGAGGUAGGGACUUCUGAGCCGCCAUCCCACUGCUCCUGGUCCAGAGGAAGGGGCUUCCCAGCCACCAUCCCUCUCGCUGCUCCCAGCCCACAGGAAAGGGCUUUUGGGUCGCCAUCCCUACUGCUGCUCCCAGCCCCUGUCCCACCUCUCCCAGCUCAGAGGACGUAAUCCAUGCAGGCGGCAACAGCCCCCCCCCCCAGUAAAAAUGAGAAAACAUGUAAAUAAGUCUCAAAACCAGACUUCCAGAUCACCUGCAGCAACCCCAAAGGGAAAUGAGAUGGAACACUCUGAUACUCAGCCACCUGAACCCACUGAACUGGCAACAAAAGGGGAUCUGGAAAAAAUGAAAUCAGAAAUAAUUUCUCAGAUAACAGGAGAAAGUGUGCCCCUAGUGCAAGACAUGAUUAAUAAAUCUAGAGAGGAGCUGAGGAACAUGAUGGAAUCCCAACAUAAGAAACAAAUGGAAUCCAUAAAACAGAUGCAAAUAGAUUUCCAGGACAUGAAAAACUCCAUUGAAAGUCUACACAGCAGAAUGAGCCAAUGUGAGGACAGAAUUUCAGAUAUAGAAGAUAAGAUUGCAAUUAAUGACCAGGAAAAGAAAAAUUGCUUCAAAAUUAUAAGGG